GCAGUAGCCGCGGUAAUACGAAGGGGGCUAGCGUUGUUCGGAAUUACUGGGCGUAAAGGGCGCGUAGGCGGCCAUUCAAGUUAGAUGUGAAAGCCCUGGGCUCAACCUAGGAAUUGCAUUUGAUACUGUUUGGCUUGAGUUCGGGAGAGGUGAGUGGAAUUCCCAGUGUAGAGGUGAAAUUCGUAGAUAUUGGGAAGAACACCAGUGGCGAAGGCGGCUCACUGGACCGACACUGACGCUGAGGCGCGAAAGCGUGGGGAGCAAACAGGAUUAGAUACCCGCGUAGUCCCUGUCUCUUAUAC
This 302-nucleotide ribosomal RNA is filed under the name uncultured bacterium. RNAcentral describes it as "partial 16S ribosomal RNA". It matches the Rfam family "Bacterial small subunit ribosomal RNA", at positions 508 to 807 of the family's 1533-position model. The record is from RNAcentral.